ACUAUCUAAUAUGGGUAUGCAAUAUUUACUACCAAAAUUAUGUGCAUCCUCAGGGUGUGUAUAUAUCAAAUGAAAUCUUGCGUCAUACGUACCCAUUCCUAAUUUGAUCUGUUAUACAAGGGCAAAAUACAUGCUAUAUAAGAAAGUAAUAAAUGUCGACCUACAUAUUAAUACCCUGCCUUUUUAUCACGUGACAUGCACGCAUGGGACAGUCCACGAAUUAAAGCGUGCCAAAUUAACUAGCAAUUGAUGCAUUUUUAUUGGUUUCCAAAUCAAUCGCUGAACACGAUCCAACGAUGAAGAGGCAAGGUGCCCAGCACCUAGGUGUCCCAAACUGGCGUGAGCCCACCCACCAACCUUCCUCGUCUCUCCUCCUCCCCACCAUCGCGCCACCUCCCUCUCUUCCCCCACUGCCGCAACCGGCGCCGAUUCCUGCGCCCCAGCCCAGCCCGCGGCCUUCCUCUCCUCACCGGCGAGCCAGCCCUCCCCCGGCAACCUCCUAGCACGAGCCUCAGUCGAAUCCAGGCUGAGGCGGGCCCCCACAACGUCCUGGCGCCGGAUCCAAGCUGCGACGCCACCCGACGACACCCCACUCCCGAAGCCAGGCCGCGGCGGCCCUUCGUAACGCCCCGCUGCCGGAGCCAGGCUGCGGUGGCCCCCCGCGAUGCCCCACUGCCACAUCCAGCCGGCGUAGUCCGGGUCGACCACCACGCGGGCGACCUCCUCCACACCAAGCUCGGAUCUGGCAGCACCGGCCUCAGAUCUGGUCACCCUGGUCGCAUCGCCCCUCCUCAUCUCACUGAGCUCCGCCUCGGCUCCGGCGAGAGGCCAUCGUCUCCAUCACAUCCACCCUCCCCCCCGCGCGCAAGCGCCGCCAGAGGCUGACAGCGAGCCACCACCAGUGUCCACUUCAGUUCGGCACCAACAAAGUCCUACUUCGGUGUGGACAUGCAGUACGCCGGAGAGCUGCUAGCGGUUGGAGCAACACGGCACACACACACACCCCGUGCCCUGGCUACCUCUUUGUUGCAGGAUGCAUCGCAAAACAGCUGGGCAGCUCGCAUGGUGGAGUUCUGAGCUGCAGUGCACUCCGGUGGAGGCCGUGGUGCACUCUCAUCGCGUCCCACCACUGUAGCGUCAAGGCCAGGGCGGUCAUCACGACAACGAGCCCCCCCGGGUCAACUCCAUCAUGCCUCCUCUUGCGCGUGCAGUGCACACCUUGCCGCAUAGCAGUUUGCCACCCCAUUUCUCGAUCACGGUGCUGUCCACGCCGUCGUCGUAGACGACACCAGCGCCUUGUAGUUCAAUGGCUCCGGGCGAGCAGUGCAGGUUGCUCUUCACUUCAGCUCGGUUGGGUCAUCCGUGCAAUACACAGCGACUUGAGAGGACGAUGGGCAUACAGUUCCCUGGCAUGUGGGAGUUCGGUUUCCGUUUGUGCGACGCUGCAGUGUGGAUGCUUGUGCCAUGCAUUUUACUUGCUUCACUGCCAUCGUGCACUUGUGUGCAGUUCGUUUGGUUUUCAUGAUCUCGCUUGCAGUAUGUUACUUGGAAAAAAUGCCCAAACCUCAAUUUGUUUGUUUA
Non-coding RNA from Aegilops tauschii subsp. strangulata, 1581 nucleotides. Lineage: Eukaryota; Viridiplantae; Streptophyta; Magnoliopsida; Poales; Poaceae. The record is from RefSeq and is a predicted model, not a curated record.